AUACGUAGGUGACAAGCGUUAUCCGGAUUUACUGGGCGUAAAGGGCGUGUAGGCGGUCUUGCAAGUCAGAAGUGAAAUUCAUGAGCUCAACUCGGGCGCUGCUUCUGAAACUGCAGGACUUGAGUGCUGGAGGGGAUAGCGGAAUUCCUAGUGGAGCGGUAAAAUGCGCAGAUAUUAGGAAGAACACCGGUGGCGAAGGCGGCUAUCUGGACAGUAACUGACGCUGAGGCGCGAAAGCGUGGGGAGCAAACAGGAUUAGAUACCCUGGUAGUCCACGCUGUAAACGAUAAGCACUAGGUGUCGGGCUAGCAAUAGUUCGGUGCCGCAGUUAACGCAAUAAGUGCUCCGCCUGGGGAGUACGCACGCAAGUGUGAAACUCAAAGGAAUUGACGGGG
Molecule: ribosomal RNA, 395 nt
Filed under: uncultured bacterium
Lineage: Bacteria
Description: partial 16S ribosomal RNA
Rfam family: Bacterial small subunit ribosomal RNA
Source: RNAcentral